GGUGUUUCCGCGCGCUGCUCUGGUUCGCCAAAAGCUGCUUAGUCAUGCUGGCCACAUGACCCGGAAGCUGUAUGUCGGCUCCCUCGGCCUAUAGAGCGAGAUGAGCGCCGCAAUCCCAGAGUCGUCUGCAACUGGACCUAACGGUCAGGGGUACCUUUACCUUUACCUUUAAUAUUUUCUUUUAUUACUUGUGUGUAUAUAUACUCAGCUUUGGGGCUUUAGGGUGAAGGGUUACAAAAAGGUCUUAAAAAGAAAACAAAAUAAAUGCUUAAUCCUCUUAAGCAGAAGUGGGGAACUUUUGGACCACCAGAUGUUGUUGGACUGCAACUCUCACCAUCCCUGACCAUUGGCCAUGAAAGCAGGUGCUGAUGGGAGUUGUAGUCCAGCAACAUCUUGAGAGCCAAGGGUUCCCCAUUCCUGCUCUAGAAGUAUUACCUGUACAUCAGCAUGCAGCCGGAAAAAGCCUUGUGUGCUCUUUUUGCAGUGCAUAGCUUGUUGCUCCUUUCAUGCUACACUAUUCAGAGGCUUGCUAUUUGUCCCACCACGAGAGGCUUCUCUGGCAUGAAUAACUACCCACUGAACAUGCAUAUUAAUCCAAAUGAAACUAACUUCCUCUGGGGGACAUAUUUAAUUCCUGCAGUCAGAUCUGUCUGGGCAGAACUACUGAGCCAGGGACCAGUGCACCACUCUGUUUACAUGAAGAUAAAUAAUUAAACUACCCUGCUUCAAAAUAAACAUGAGAGCCAUCCCUCCCUUUAAAAGGGGCACAAUCUUCAGGAGUUCCUGAAAAAGAAGCGGUAAAGUUAUCCCUACUUUCCAUUUAAAAAUUCUGACUUGAUUUGUUACUCAAUGGAGGACAGAACAUGUUUUUUUUUCCCCCGUAGCAAAGGAAAAUGUCCUAGCAAAGAAAAAUGAUCUGUGCUUUGUAAACAUGGCAUUCAAUGCAGUGGGAACAGAAUGGGGGCAAGACAUCUUGGUGGGUGGGUAUAAACCAUGAAGCAGCCCAUGGUUUCUAAACACUGAGAUCCUGCAGUAAAUGAUGUGCAAUGCUUAUUAUUUCCCCUUCUUAACAGAUGUUCCUUAAGAUGUGAAUGUGUUCCAGAAAAACUAGAUUUGAGCUGCUGGACUUGCCAAGUGCCUGAUUUGGUGGCCCACUGCAUAGUCACAGGGGGUCAGAGGUGAUAUUCCUCAAAGCAGAACUUUGGCAGACCGAGGGGAUGCACAGAAUAUGGCUUCACUACAAUCUCUUUUAUUUGGUUCCUUGUAAAUUAUGGAAUUUACAAGAGGUUGUGAUGGCCACCAACUUGAAUGGCUUUAUAAGGAGGAUCAGACAAAUUCAUGGAGGACAAGGCUAUCAGUGGCUGCGUACACUUCUCCCAGGGUCAGAGGUAGUAUGCUUCUGUAUACCAGUUUGAAGAAUCAGAAUGCUGAUGCAUUCAUGUCUUGCUUGUGGGCUUCCCAUGGGUAUCCGGCUGGUCAAUGUAAGAACAGGAUUCUGGACUAGGUAGGCCUUUGGCCCAACCUACCAGGGCUCUUAUGUUCUUACGUUCUCAAAUCAUCAGACUGCUCUACUGGCAUAGCACUCUUUUAUUUCACUUGGGCUUGCACUGGCAUGGCAUGUGAAGAUCCGGCUGUUGGGGAGAUCAAAGCCUCGGAGCAGAUGCAAAUUGUUUCUGAUUGCCUCGCCUCCAUUUGAGAGUAGAAUCAAAGAUAGUUCCUGUGCAACAUCUCCUUUAUUGCUGCGAGAAAUCCCUCAGAGUUCUGUAAUCUCUUAUUAAUAUUUUUGACUAUGGAUUUGACACAAGUCUCCCAUCGUUAAAAUGACUUUUCUCUUUUAUCAGGAAUCUUUAGCUGGCACUUGUAAAAGCCUGGCAGUUUUAUAUUAAUAAUUUCCACAGCACUUCUAGAGCACUUUAUCAUUUUUAUAGCACUUUCUUUGUUGCUCUGCAGCGGCAGAAACACAGGGGCAGGGAAUCAGUCCUCAGACACUGUCCAGAAGCAGAGGUGCCCUCAAGACUGGACUUUUUUUGGGGGGGGGGCAGAUGUGUCCAUAGCACUACUCAGCAGAAUGAGAAGCAGGGCCCCCAAAUUUGUCAUGGUUGGCUUCUCACAUUUGAAAGUGAAAUAAUAUAACACCUUGCCAUGUAAAGAGAGGGAGAUCAUAAGACCAUGAAGGGCUUAUGCCGAUGAUCUGGUUUUUUUUAAGUAGUUAUCCUGAUUUGCCUGGUGAGCUAAUGCAGAGGUUAGAUUUCUCAUUAUAGUGGUACCUUUUGUUCUCAAGCUUAAUCCAUUCUGGAAGUCCGUUCCAAAACCAAAGCGUUACAAAACCAAGGCGCGCUUUCCCAUAGAAAGUAAUGCAAAAUGCAUUAAUCCAUUCCAGACUUCUAAAAACAACCCCUAAAGCAGCAAUUUAACAUGAAUUUUACUACAGUGGAACCUCGGUUUAUGAACACCUCGGUUUAUGAAUUUUCAGUUUAUGAACACCGCGGACCCAUCUGGAACGGAUUAAUUCACUUUCCAUUACUUUUAAUGGGAAAGUUCGCUUCAGUUUAUGAACGCUUCAGUUUAUGAACAGACUUCCGGAACCAAUUACACUCAUGUUUCAGUUUAUGAACGCUUCAGUUUAAGUACUCUGCGGACCCGUCUGAAACGGAUUAAUCCACUUUCCGUUACUUUCAAUGGGAAAGUUCGCUUCAGUUUAUGAACGGUUACUCCGCAGACCGUCUGGAACGGAUUAAUCCACUUUCCAUUACUUUCAAUGGGAAAGUUCGUUUCAGUUUAUGAACGCUUCAGUUUAUGAACAGACUUCCGGAACCAAUUGUGUUCAUAAACCGAGGUACCACUGUAUCUAACGAGACCAUUGAUCCAUAAAAUGAAAGCAACAAACAAUGUACUGCAGUCACACAAUCAAUCAAUCAAUCAAUCAAUCAGUAGCUGAAUUGGGUUCCACACAGUCACAAAAAUAAAAACAAAAGGGCCGCAAAAACGCAAAAUAAAUAGCAAAAUUAGACAGACCUCAGUGUAACACUCCAAAUGGAAGCAUGGCACUCAAAACGGAGCACGUUCAACUUCCGAAAAAAGUUUGCAAACUGGAACACUUACUUUCGGGUUUGCAGUGUUUGGGUUCCAAGUUGUUUGAGUACCAAGGCAUUUGAGAACCAAGGUACCACUGUAUUAUAUUUUCCCCAACCACCACCAGUACACAUGCUGAACUUUCAUCAGGCACGCUAGGGGCAUGUGAUUGUUGUUGGCAUCUAUCUGUCUCCCAGGAGACAAUGGCAGGGAUGAGAGCGGAACGUAACCUCCACCUGUGUUACAGCAUCACACAUUCCAGGGUGGAGGAAGGUACACCUGCAGGUUCAUCAUGCAGAGACCACAAUGCAAACUGAGAGAGAGCUUUCCUAUCUCUGGCUGAGAUUCACCUACCCUGUUCCACUAGUGGAAGCCAACGCAAGGAUAUCCAGGGACAGGAGACACCCCAGAACAGUGUACGAGGGGAUGAGUCAGGCAAGCAGAAAUGCUUGCACCGAUGCCACAGUUUUCUUUAGUGCUACAUUGAGUUUUACCCUCUGAAAGUUAUUGUAUUUUAAUACUUCUGUUGGAAGCCGCCCAGAGUGGCUGGGGAAACCCAGCCAGGUGGGUGGGGUAUAAAUAAUAAAUGAUGAUGAUGAUGAUGAUGAAAGCGCCUCUGGCACAAGGCAUUUCCAACAGAGGAAAUCCACACUUUCAGCUGAAAGAGAUGAACCGAUGUGCAUGGAUCUAUGUGUGAAUCAGGCUUUAGCUGUCAGUUCUCUGCUACCUGGUGAAGUCCAUUGCCCACUCCCCCUGGAAAUCCUGGUUCCCAUUAUAAUGUGUUCACCCCACAAGUGUCUCACCCAGUCGUCUUUAGGCAGGCAGCUGUCAUAGAUGCCUCCGGCAGUAAAGCCUCUGUGGCUGCCACUGCUAUUUCAAUUCUAGGCCGGCACCCUUUUAUCAAGAAAUCUGUUCUUUCAGUGCUGGGACAGCCUGCACGAUAGGCUCUUUUUAAAUAUAUAUUAGUGUUAUUUGUAGCUUCUGUGUUUUCUCCCUCACCCUCUAGCACCGUUAAACUGUUUACUAUGACUGCUGUCUUGCUGCCAGCUUAGAUAAUCAUCACCAUCUCGUUUCAUCUCAUCUCAUAUUGGAAAUGCUCCUCCAUGGAGAUUUGCAAAGGCUGUCAGAUCAAGGCUUCGAAACUAGGAAUAUACAGCUGUCUCCUGCUUUUAAUGACCACAGCGACCACUUUCUCCACAUGACAGAGAGGAUCAUGAUGAUCAGCGGCACAGAAGAGGCAUCCCAGGCGCACUCCUAGUAGCAGGGGCCAAGUUACUCACAGGCAAGGGAUGUUAGGUUAAUUCAGAAGUGGGCCGCUUAUUCAGCACCAGGAAGCCAGGACACAUGUCAUGAGUCAGAGGGCUCGAGGUGCUUUUCAUAUUUUUAUUUGCAUGCAAUUAACAAGGCUUGCAUAACAUUUUGCAAAUAGAGUGUGACAGUGUCUGCCUGGAUGAGACACAUAUUGCACGCUCCCCUUUCUUGAUGCUUCAGUUUCUACCAGUGACAGAGCAACUGCUUCGCACACAGGAAGUCUCAGGCUCAGCUCCUGGCAUCUCCCGGUAGGGAAGGGAAAGACUUUGUGUGUGAAACCCUAAGAGUAGCUGCCAGUCAGUGCAAACAAUGCAGAGAUAGACUCUGUAUAAGGUGGCUUUCUACAUUCCACAAAUGUUGCCCAGAUGUGGUAGUUUUGAGUGGCAGGUGAUUAUUUCAGUUAAUUGAAAUUUGAGUUUUACAGACUCUCCAUACAUUGCUGAAGGAGAAUAACCAGUGUGAGUCUGACCCACCAAGUUCCAUUUAUUCAUCAAGUCCAAAGACUGGGAUCCCCUGUUCUUUAUGUUUUAUGGGCAACACAGAUCCAAAAAUAAUCCCUUUGUCCCCGACUGCCAGAGACGUCUGUGCCACCGUCAUCCUCCUUUCUGCCAGCGGCUUGUUCUCCCCACCUCUAAAACAAGAAACUCGUAAUAUUCCACUUUGUCCUCACUUGACUCUUGGCUCAGAAUUUAUUGCAUAAAGCCUGCCAAUAUUUAAAUGAAAGAUGUGUUUACACCGCUGAUACAUGGCCUUUUACUUAUGGCUGGGCUCUCAAUUUCAUUUCCUUAAUUGUUUUUGUACCUUUUUCUUGUUUUGCUUUGUUCACUUGUCUCCAUAACGGGAACAUGAAGGAGAAAGUACAUCUCAUUCCAUUCGAUACAAAGGACCCCAUGACCACGUCCUCCCUUGGAAAUAAUCUGGGACGGAGGCCAGUGGGCAGCUCCAUGACGUCUGACGAUGACUCCUAACCAACAACUCUGAAUUCCAAACUGGGGCACAGUUACCCCAUUCAGGACCAGGGAGUCCUCCAUACCUGCCCGCCUCCUGUCCCUCCAAAAAAAUACAGACAUGGGAGAAAAAGCAAAGCUGACACUUAGUGCAUCCAGCUGAUUCAUCGAUUGUUUGUGGCUUAUGCCUUUAUGCUCUUUUUGGGAACAACCAGCAGCUGCUUCCUGAACUGAACUUCAGGUGGACCCAGCCAAGAUGAGUCAGCUCAUGAGCUGCUGUAAUGCUUUCUGGCAAAUGCUCCUCUGAAAAGAAAAGAAAAAUCCCCGGCUGCAUCGCUCUCACGCCCUCUCUCUCACACACAUGUGAACUUCACUCUUCAGCCAAAAAGGCAUCCUGAGUGGCUUGCAUAGGUCCAGUUGGGGAUGACUCUGGGGUUGCGCACUCAUCUCGCUCUAUAGGCCAAGGGAGCCAGCGUUUGUCCGCAGACAGCUUCCGGGUCAUGUGGCCAGCAUGACUAAGCUGCUUCUGGCGAACCAGAGCAGAGCACGGAAGCCGUUUACCUUCCCGCAUAUAAACAGGUAAAUCAAAAGAGUUUCUGCCUGCAGGUUUACAAUCUAAAAGACAUGAGCCCCUAGAUGUCCACUUCACUGCUUUGAUUUGCAGUACUGUUACUUUUACUGUUACUGUUACUGGUGGUGGGCAAUACCAACUCUGCUCUUGUAAGUGUAAAUCUCAGCACCUACACUUUGGAACUCUCUGCCUAUUGACACCAGGCAGCCACCUUUCAAUGCUUUUUGUCACCUGCUUAAAAUAUUUUUGCUUGACCUAAAAGGCAGUGUAGAAAAUAUUAUUAUUAAUAAUAAAAAU
Zootoca vivipara (common lizard) is the source of this 6198-nucleotide non-coding RNA. Lineage: Eukaryota; Metazoa; Chordata; Lepidosauria; Squamata; Lacertidae. The record is from RefSeq and is a predicted model, not a curated record.